GUCGCGGGGUGGAGCAGUUUGGUAGCUCGUCGGGCUCAUAACCCGAAGGUCGUUGGUUCAAAUCCAGCCCCCGCAACCAGU
This 81-nucleotide transfer RNA is filed under the name Pseudomonas syringae. RNAcentral describes it as "tRNA-Met". It matches the Rfam family "tRNA". From Rfam's summary of the family: Transfer RNA (tRNA) molecules are approximately 80 nucleotides in length. The record is from RNAcentral. Lineage: Bacteria; Pseudomonadati; Pseudomonadota; Gammaproteobacteria; Pseudomonadales; Pseudomonadaceae.